Molecule: small nuclear RNA, 195 nt
Filed under: Cyphomyrmex costatus
Lineage: Eukaryota; Metazoa; Arthropoda; Insecta; Hymenoptera; Formicidae
Description: U2 spliceosomal RNA
Rfam family: U2 spliceosomal RNA
About the family: U2 is a small nuclear RNA (snRNA) component of the spliceosome (involved in pre-mRNA splicing). Complementary binding between U2 snRNA (in an area lying towards the 5' end but 3' to hairpin I) and the branchpoint sequence (BPS) of the intron results the bulging out of an unpaired adenosine, on the BPS, which initiates a nucleophilic attack at the intronic 5' splice site, thus starting the first of two transesterification reactions that mediate splicing.
Source: Rfam by way of RNAcentral
AUCGCUUCUCGGCUCUCUGAGCUAAGAUCAAAAGUGUAGUAUCUGUUCUUAUCAGCUUAAUAUCUGAUACAAUCCCCAUAGGGGAUUCAGAAUAUUAAUCUGUUUUUUGUACUCAGGUGGGGCGUUUUGGGGCUUGCUCCAACCCCGCCAAGGUCGACCCGAUAUUGCAGUUUAAUCGGGACCGGCCUAACCUGA